RNAcentral lists this long non-coding RNA (858 nucleotides) under Carica papaya (papaya). Its description in RNAcentral is "long non-coding RNA (CPAP_LNC002187)". Lineage: Eukaryota; Viridiplantae; Streptophyta; Magnoliopsida; Brassicales; Caricaceae. The record is from RNAcentral.
UUUGAAUGCAUGAAUUGCUGUCUUACGUGAAUACUGUUUGAUUGGAAAAUUGAGAUAUAAUUACAUUCCCUAUUGCAUGUUUGUUUGUUUAUAUGAUCAUGGUUGAUUUGGAAAUGGAGACUAAAGAAAAAUAGAAAAGUUAUGUGGUUAAAUAAAUAGAUGGAAUGACAACCUUACUAGAUAUCCUAGGAGAUGGUGGACAGAUUAGGUACAUAGAAAACCCUACCGUGAACGUUGUCUCAUACCAGAUGGGCUAUGGGGACGGCUCGCUUUACCCUCAUACCGGACGGGGUAUUGAUGUUUAAUAAUUUAGUGCUCAUACCGGACGGGGUAUGGGGACGGCCCGUAAUUGAGAUUGUUAAAGGAAAGGGGUAACGUGCAGCGGGGACAUCCCUAUUAACCCCCAUGGAUAUUAGUAGGCUAGGGAAAAGGUAACAUUUAUUGUUUGGUUAUUUGAUGAUGUGUAUAGAUUUAUAAUAUGUGCUAUGUUACUGAAUUUACAUGAAAUUAUGAUCCGUAUGAUAUUAUUUUCUACAUAGGUUGUUUUCAUAAAUUCCACCGUGGUAAGUGAACGGUAAAUGAUUUUAUGAUUGAUAAAUGGAUUUGCUAAAUUUAGUGCUCCAUUAGUUGUUUUUGUUUUUAUACCCACCUUCAUUUCUGUGUCGGUGAUGUAUUGUGAUAUCUUUAUUGGGUUAGUGUAGCUCAUUCAUUAUUUAACUAUUUCAGAUCAAGAGGACCAGGUUCCAGAGCCCGAUCCACAAGAAGAUUGCGAGUAGAUGCUAGAUAUUUUCUCUUUUUCGUUUAUUUCCUUAUUUCUUGUGUUUCUUUCAAAAAGGUGAACUUUGUAAUGUUGUUUAG